This is a long non-coding RNA of Phyllostomus discolor (pale spear-nosed bat), 625 nucleotides long. RefSeq lists it as uncharacterized. The transcript has 3 exons. The record is from RefSeq and is a predicted model, not a curated record. Lineage: Eukaryota; Metazoa; Chordata; Mammalia; Chiroptera; Phyllostomidae.
AGGAGCCCCUUUCAGGCUUGUCCUGAAAAUAGCGUUCCGUGGACAGCCAUGGACCGUCCUCUCUGAGGAUGAAGGAUCUUUGCCCCCUGGCCACAGGACGAAUGUGACCAAAGUGUUUAAUGCAUGCACUUCUCCCCGUUGUCCCCCGAAGCUCGCAGGCAUAAAUCAAAACGCCCCCGAAUUCUUCAGGGAUGGCGGCUGGAAAUGCAACGUUGUAUGAAAUGUUUCCAAUUUGCUUUCAGCCAAAUUACCUCUUAUGCUUUAAAGGGCAAACUUGUUUUCUUUGAUUAUGAUGGCGCCCAUCAGCUCCCGACAGCUCAUUUGGGUGAACAAGAAAACGCCCGUGGAACUCGGACUGGGGGGAAACGCGUCUGACUCUGAUGACAAAAAUCACUGGAAAAUCUCUUUUCCUUGAAUUCUAAUAUGAUCAUUUCAUGUCCCCUUUAACGCCACCAACCUUAAUAUUUAAAUCAUUUCCAACUCCAGCCUCUCCUUUGAAAAUUCCUGCCCUGAGAGUUGAAGCAAGAUUGUUAAUGGUUGGGGAACUUUAAUUGGAUCUUCCCUUUAUUUGUCAUUAAUUCUGCUGAUGAACUUUAUAAAUGGAAAUAUAUCUUUAUCAUGCAAA